CCUACGGGGCGCAGCAGUAAGGAAUAUUGGUCAAUGGACGAAAGUCUGAACCAGCCAUGCCGCGUGGAGGAUGAAGGUCCUCUGGAUUGUAAACUUCUUUUAUAUGGGACGAAAAAAGGGUUUUCUAACUCGUCUGACGGUACCAUAUGAAUAAGCACCGGCUAACUCCGUGCCAGCAGCCGCGGUAAUACGGAGGGUGCAAGCGUUAUCCGGAUUCACUGGGUUUAAAGGGUGCGUAGGUGGGUUGGUAAGUCAGUGGUGAAAUCUCCGAGCUUAACUUGGAAACUGCCAUUGAUACUAUCAGUCUUGAAUAUUGUGGAGGUCAGCGGAAUAUGUCAUGUAGCGGUGAAAUGCUUAGAUAUGACAUAGAACACCAAUUGCGAAGGCAGCUGGCUACACAUCUAUUGACACUGAGGCACGAAAGCGUGGGGAUCAAACAG
This 440-nucleotide ribosomal RNA is filed under the name uncultured bacterium. Its description in RNAcentral is "bacterial SSU rRNA". It matches the Rfam family "Bacterial small subunit ribosomal RNA", at positions 338 to 775 of the family's 1533-position model. The record is from RNAcentral.